AUGGACACCACGGAAUAUACAGAAGGGGCUGUUGUAGGGAAAAAAACCAAACAACAACAAAGGGACAGCAGGCUCUGCCUCACGGCUAGUGGGAAUCCCUCUAUUUCCUCCCAUGAGCCGGCACUGGAGGCAGCAGGUAUCCCGUCGGGAUGCAGGAAACAACACAACUUCCCCCCACAGCCCGUGGAACUCCAGGUUCGCCUGGGCACCCACAGGCGCCGGCAGCCACUCACUGCGGCUCCCUGGGGCAGGGGACACCCCCGAACACGGGCACACGAGGCACGGGACACCCGCAAACAACGGAACACGGGGCAGGGAACGUCCCAGAGGGAGGUGACACCACCAAACACCGGCAAAAGGGACAGGGGACACCCCCGGAGAAAGGUGACACCCCCGAACACCAGCAGAGGGGACAGCCCGCGGCCCGGGAACCCUCGGCGAGGCGCGGGGGUGACACGGCCCCGCGGGAGGGGGACACAGCGGCUGUGCACCGCGCAAUGGGAUCCCCGCGGAAGCCUGGGGCAGGAAUUCCACUUAGCAUCACCCACACCUCAACAGAGCAUCACUGCCAGGGGGAUCCUCACCUUCCUCCUCGCUGGAAAAGCAGCAGCAUUUGCCCUCAACAAGGAGUUUUUACAUCUAGGAAGCUCCAGCUCAGCAGCCACACAGUGAUUAUAAAAAAAAAAAAACCAAACUGGAAAAGCCCCUUGGCAUGCACGACUCCUGUGUGAUAAAUACAGACAUUUUCCUUGGCACUGUCUCAGACUGAUAUUCCUAACCCAUCCUAAAUGCUGGUGGUGACACUGGAGAGGAAACACAUGCUGGCUUUGAGUUAAAACCCUUGCAGACUCAGAGGGGAAAAAAAGAAAACAACCCUGCAAGGCUACAUGACUUUAGCAUCCAGCUAUUUGUUAGAACUUAAAUUCCUGGAGAUUAAUUAGCAGAUGUAGAACAUUGCCCAAAGGUAGGUCUGUACCACAGCCCAAACAGCUCUGCAUCCAAACUCUGCAGCUGGCCUUCAGGUUUUUUUUUCCUUUCCUGAAAAAAAUAAAGGAGCAAAGGCCUCAAUACCCUCAAUCCUGGGCUGUAGUUCCCAGGGUUUUGAUAGAAAUCAUGUACGGGAGAUAAAACAGGAAUAUUUCAUGUUUCAGGUAAAUAGUGAGGUUUGUGUCUUCAGCAGAGGAUCUCAUCCCACCUCCCAUUCCAAACCUGUGUAGACAGCCAAGAAAGGGUCUCACAUGAGCUUGGCUCGCUUGGGCAAAAGGGACAAGGAAAAGGAUUCGCUCCAUAAUUGUGAAUGGGGAAUCUGAAACAUCAAAAAUUCCAGCCCUCCUCCCCUUCCUACGAGAAAAAGGCAGAUCCCGCUGGAAAUUCAACAUUUUGCUGCCAGAAAGGAAGCCAAGGCAGGGUAUGAGAGGAGCCUGGAGAUACUGAAUUGCUCAUCCAGCAAUAGCAAAAUCUUUCCAAAUUCCAUCCCUGCUCCCCAGGCACUGGCUGCUGCCAGCACACGGCCAGCGAUUGCUUCGGAAAGGGCAAAGUUCAGGGUCUGAACAGCCAUCUGUGCUGGGGCCAGGCAGCAGCUGGGCUGGGGAGAGGGCUGGGGCUGCUUCCCACUGGGAAAGAGCAGCUCCAGCCUUGCCAAGCUCCGUUUUGGACUGAGAAUUGCUCAAGCAAGGCUGGAGCUGGCACCGGAUCUGAGCAUUUUCACAUAUCCCUGGGAAACAGAGGUGAAGAGCAGCACUGGUCACCUCUGGCAUGAUCUACAGAUCCUGGGCUCAUCCCUGCUGCAGACCAGGUUAGUGAAUUAUCUCCAAAAUUACAGCAGAGCUGAAAAAAUGAGCCCAUGGGGGACUGAGAGCCAAGGAUGGGAAACAGAGCUGAAAAAAUGAGCCCAUGGGGGACUGAGGGCCAAGGAUGGGAAACGCUGGAACACUGGAGUGCCUGCUCCAGAGGGCAUCACAGCAGGCAUUUCACAGUCAGAGCACUGCAGAAUUAGGAAUUAAUUAAUCCUCACAGUGGCCCUGUAAGACAGAUCUGGUGUAAUUAAGCCUUGGUUUUAUAGCUGGGGAAACAGAGGUGUGGGGUAACAGCUCUAGGAAGAACCGCAGAUGCUGGGGGUGUUUGGAGACAGAGCUUUGUCGCCUUGUAGAUUAUAAAUCCAGCAGAAACCACCUCUCACCUGUCCUCCUGCCUGAUUCAUGCCAGGAUCUGGCUCUCAUCUUAUUCCUUCUCCCAUUCACAUGAGCAAUUUAUCUCCCAAGUGAACCCCCAGCUGAUAAAACACUUCUCAUGCUGAAGGACACCCACGCUGCUGCAGGGAGGGGAUGGCAGCCCAUUCCAUGCCUUUUGUGAAGAGAUCCCAGUUUUAUCAGCACAGACACCCACCCUGGACCUCCUUGACCUGCAACUGGGAUGGGGUGAUGGCAAAACCAGUCUCCACACUGUCUCCAGUGCCAAACCCCAGCAAACCUUACAAAAGCAAUCUGCAACCACACCGAAGGACAGCUCUUUGGAAACACCCUACAGAUAGGCUUAUUUUUCCCUUUAACUUACAACUUGCCUGCGAGCAGCCAGCCAGAAAGAGAAGGAAGAAAGAAAGAAAGGAAAAGAAGCGAUUCCUCCCUGUUCUGCUGCCGUUAUUCUCCCCUCUGAGGUAGACAUGGACGCGGCGGGGAUGAACCACUGCGGAGUGGCCAUUUGUCUGGCGGGCGAGCCACCCCCCCCCCCCCCCCCCCCCCCCCCCCCCCCCCGCGGCACCCGCGCUGUCCUGCCCCAGCGCGGUGGGAGCCCUGGCUCCGGGCAGCCCGGCGUGGCUCAGCAGUGCCGCAGCAGGCAGGCGGCGGUGGCCGGCGCCGC
Long non-coding RNA from Ficedula albicollis (Collared flycatcher), 2856 nucleotides. The record is from Ensembl. Lineage: Eukaryota; Metazoa; Chordata; Aves; Passeriformes; Muscicapidae.